Long non-coding RNA from Suricata suricatta (meerkat), 467 nucleotides. RefSeq lists it as uncharacterized. The record is from RefSeq and is a predicted model, not a curated record. NCBI's taxonomy places the organism in Eukaryota, Metazoa, Chordata, Mammalia, Carnivora, Herpestidae. The transcript has 2 exons.
AGAGUGGGAGCAAGCCUUAAACGAGAAUAAACCAUGCAAUCACUGUGUUCCUCAUCAUCAUUUUGUGCCUACCAUAGCACACAGCGCUGAUGCCACAGGGUGGAGUGAGCCGAGACAUGGAAUCCCAGCCCUGAUUUGUCCUAGCUGUGUGGCUGGAGCAAGCUGUUUAACCUCUCUGAGCUUCUGCUGCCAUUUCUGCAAAGUGCGAUCAGCACUACCUACUUCACAGGCUGGAAAGCUCCUGAAUGCAAGUCUAUUUCUUCAUCUGGGACCAAAUGGAAGGAAGACAUCAAAGGCAAUUUUGACUCUCCUGGACUUUUUCUUCAUUCUUUUCAAGUACCUAAGGGAGCCAUGUGAUUAUUGCUUAUUUAUGUAAAAGCCACUGGUAAUAAAAUAGAUCAUAGUUAUUGUUCCUGUUGGGCAGGUUUCCACAGAGUUCACAAAUGAAAGCGAAAUUCGUGCUGUAA